Felis catus (domestic cat) is the source of this 1653-nucleotide long non-coding RNA. RefSeq lists it as uncharacterized. Lineage: Eukaryota; Metazoa; Chordata; Mammalia; Carnivora; Felidae. The record is from RefSeq and is a predicted model, not a curated record. The transcript is spliced from 2 exons.
UGCAAGGAUUCACUGUUAAAAGAGGUGGCAUAAUGUCCUCCUCCAGCCUCAAGAAGAGCAAUAUGGCUUCCUUCUCCAUUUCCAAUAUCUGGCCCUCUAGGUCUGAGAGGAAGAUGUGGCUGAAUAUAGGUAAAACACAGCCUCCAGUGACCUCAACUAUCCCUUGAAUUCACAGACACUGAUUCCCAAAGAGCCAUGGGGUGCCACAAAGAUCUGAACAUAUCGCUUCCUGUGCCCGCCAAUAGCUGGAAAAAGGAAGAAGGGAAAUCUUGAACUUUCUAGACUAUAAGAAAGGCUGGGAAAUUUCACACCUCUUUGCCACAUUAUCUUGAUUAUUAUCCUGGCUUGCUUCUCGAAGGCUUGGAGACUGGCUGGAAUUUUCAACGGGACACUCAGAAGGAAGCAACCGAAUCGUGAAAUGUUCAAGGAGGACCUUCACAGAAGAAGACAUGUGAACAAACCUGUGCCCAAGCCUUUGUGUGGGACUGAGCUACCCUAGGAUACGGUUGGCCGCUUUCUGUACGAAACAAACAAAAUGCAACACAAACAAAAGGCACCCCCAACCCCCAAACACACAAAACCAUGAGGGGGGAUUUAGUCUGGAGGGAUUUCACACUGAAAAAGAAAGAAUUUCUUGUACACAUGUUCUCCAAUUUUAGACACGACGCCUUCCUGGACAUUUUGUCAUAAAGCAGAUGACCAGAAGUGACAGCUCAAGGAGCAUCUACUGAAGGUCCACUAUGUUCCAGGCACAACGAUAAUCUCUGCCAUGUUCACAUGGCCUAAAAUUGAUCCCUGCCUCAGAAGGGGUCAGGCAGUAAGAACAGAGAAAAGUGUUUACAAAGCUGAGGCACAGGAGCAGACCAGCAGAGUGGCGAAGAGAGGGGACUCUGGGACAUUCUUCGGACAACUGAGUGUGAAACACAAUCAUAUAUUGCCCAAGCUCGUGAAACAGAUGUUUUAUUGUUGCCUACUUCCAGGCAGACUAUCAACAUCUGGUGAACAUACACCGUGUCAUCUUAGAUGACCCACAUCCCAGUGGGAUUUUAGUGUUCCUGUCCAUCGGCUGCUUCCACUGUCAUUCUUGACCUAUUUGUCCCAGGAUUUGGCUCAGACCUUCCUGAAGCCUCACGCCUCCAAAUCCAGGCUCACUUCUCCCGGCCAAAGAAGUGACCUUAACUUCUUAUGCCUGAGAAGACACUGUUCACAGGCCACUAUUGACCAAUAUUUCAACACUCAAAGAGUUCUUGUCAUCAUUUCAUGACCUGUCCCUUCCUUUUCAGAGGAGGAAGUAUGCCCAAUCAUUCCCAAGAUAACCCUGUCAGUUAGAAGGGAUACUUUCAGUGCUAAGGUUCAAUGCUUCUAAAACCCAGAGCAAUUCUGUAUUAAGUUCUGUAUCUUUAAGAAGAGCAGAGAAUAGCCAUUCUUCCAAAUGCUGGAAAGAAAUAAGGCACUAGGGAGCUCUUAGGAAGCCACUUUCCAUGGACAAAGCCCAGCCCUCAUAGAAAGGGAUCAGACAUCACUUGAUUUAUUCCCAAGGUAAAAACUGGAUUAAUACUCCCCCCUAAAUUGUUUGAGAGUGUUUCCUGCAACCUUAAUUUGUAAGAAUAGAGGAAUAAAUAUACAAACCAUGGUGUAUCCAUGUAUUAUAAA